This 279-nucleotide unclassified non-coding RNA is filed under the name plant metagenome. Its description in RNAcentral is "partial contains small subunit ribosomal RNA, internal transcribed spacer 1, and 5.8S ribosomal RNA". The record is from RNAcentral.
UUUCCGUAGGUGAACCAGCGGAAGGAUCAUUCAUAAUACGUGCUUUACUCCACUUUUCAAUAAUCAGUAUUCACCUUGUGUGGAAGGUUUGCUGCCGAGUUCGCUUUUUUGCGCGUUCUUGGCAGUAUACUACCAACCCUUUAUUGAAUUUUUUUGUCUGGAAUUUUUUGAUUACAUAAUUCGAAAUACAACUUUUAACAACGGACAUCUGGGCUCUCGCAUCGAGGACGAACGCAGCAGACCGCAAAAGCACACGUCUGACCUCCGGUCACGCAUAGG